AGUGAACGCUGGCGGCAGGCCUAAUACAUGCAAGUCGAACGGCAGCACAGCAGAGCUUGCUCUGUGGGUGGCGAGUGGCGGACGGGUGAGGAAUACAUGGGAAUCUGCCCAGUCGUGGGGGAUAACGUAUGGAAACGUACGCUAAUACCGCAUGCGCCCUUUGGGGGAAAGCCGGGGACCUUCGGGCCUGGCGCGAUUGGAUGAGCCCAUGUUCGAUUAGCUAGUUGGCGGGGUAAAGGCCCACCAAGGCGACGAUCGGUAGCUGGUCUGAGAGGAUGAUCAGCCACACUGGGACUGAGACACGGCCCAGACUCCUACGGGAGGCAGCAGUAGGGAAUAUUGGACAAUGGGCGCAAGCCUGAUCCAGCCAUGCCGCGUGAGUGAAGAAGGCCCUCGGGUUGUAAAGCUCUUUUGUCCGGAAAGAAAAGCAUUCGGUUAAUACCCGGGUGUUCUGACGGUACCGGAAGAAUAAGCACCGGCUAACUUCGUG
Molecule: ribosomal RNA, 490 nt
Filed under: uncultured bacterium
Lineage: Bacteria
Description: partial 16S ribosomal RNA
Rfam family: Bacterial small subunit ribosomal RNA
Source: RNAcentral